Vespa mandarinia (Asian giant hornet) is the source of this 2867-nucleotide long non-coding RNA. Lineage: Eukaryota; Metazoa; Arthropoda; Insecta; Hymenoptera; Vespidae. The record is from RefSeq and is a predicted model, not a curated record.
AACAUCACCAUAGGACAACUAAGAGUUCUGAAGUAACUAUAAUCGAUAAACUUAGAAGGGGAAAAAAAAGUAGUAGUAAAUUAAUUGAUCGCGCAUUUACGCUUGCGCAAAGAGUUGCGCUAGCCAGUACAACGACAAAUGUAAAACGAAAAUAUAACGUUGUUCUGUGAACGUGAAAUACACUCGAAGGGUUUUGUGUGCUUUUGUCAAAGUGUCAAGAGUAACUUCAAUUAAACGGAUAUUGUUUAGGAUUAAACUUGGCAUCGUUUCUUGAAAAAUAUUAAAAUAAUCAGUGGCACUUCUCGUUAUCUACAAUCACAAAAAAAUUACAUUAUCAUUUGAAUGAUAAGAGUAAAAUGCAAGCCGAUCGUAAUGCUUACGACAUUGAAAUCGCCGAGGAAAGUAUUCAUCGUGUUACCAGCUACGAGCAAAGGAUCAGUGUCGGAAAAAUCUGAAAGCAUACAGUUUGACGAUGUCAUCCAAUCUGUUGAGGAGCCUGUUCGAAACAUCUUCUCUGACCAUCGACGAGAUAUUCAAGCCAUGAGUUCCGUUUCAAGUUGACCGCAAGCAUGCAUUGCGAUAAGUGCGGCAAGACCGCAGGUGCCACAGAUCUUGACCUUCUUUCGCAUGUCUUGUGACGUGAAAAGCACGAAUAGUAAGUUGGUGAUUCAAGCAAAACUAAUGGGAACGGUUUAAGCGCAACAGGGAGGGUGCAGCCCUCCUUUUGUCUCUUAGGGUGACAAAGAGUACGUAUUUACGUUUGCCAGUUACAAGGCGUUAUUGGACUGGACGAUCGAAGACCAGUAGAAUACAAUGAUUGGAUAAGGAUGGGACAUUAUGGAGGAAUACAAUGUCGAAGAUGAUCAUCAUGGAUGCGGACAUCGAGUCACGCAAACUUUUAAAAGUAUAUAAAGAAGGAAUGCAAAGUCAUGUAAAAAUGAUGUAAAACGUUAAAAGGUAAUACUUACUUCUUGGAUCGGAUUUGAUGUCUAAUUACCUCAGCGAUACGCGUAUCCGGAUCAGUAUCAUCGACGUCGUCUUUCCCGUCGACAAUGUCUCUCAUCAUUCUCAUAAGAAUUUCGAGUUGGCCACACGCGUGCAUGAUCAGAAAGGUCGCUAAACCACAAACGCCACAAGCUACCGAGUAGACGGCGAAGCCAGCAAGAAAUUGUCCAAAAAAGACGAGCUCGUAAGCUGGCGAUUUUUGCUCAUCGAAUAUUACGAAGUAACUCGGACAAGCAAGGGGUCAUAUUGUGAGAUUACCGAUGCGUUUAUCGAACACGAGCAGAGAGGACCAAAGAUCUUCAGCCGUAUGCGUGUAUUUUGUUCUAUGAAGAAAAUUCGAAGCAGCCCUGGUACGAGUAGAAAGAUACAAUUUUAUCACGAUUGGACCGUUCUUAUCUGGCUCUAGAGUGUUACUGACCAAGCAGUCUGUAGAAUCUAGAUGGGACAGAGGCUUUGCGCGCAGAAGCGCAUCGCAGAGGGAGAACUUAUUUCGAUUGCAAAGUAGACUGCGAACGUAAUGGCUUUCGUAAUUCUUUACUUAUAGUGAUCACUACUAUUUUCUUAUUCUUCGAGCUCUUUCAUAGCAUUCAAAGUAUGUUAAUAAAACAAAGAUGAUCGCAAUAAUUAUCAAUAAAAGAAAAAAAAAAUAGAGAGAUUUAAGGACUCUAAAGGCAAUGCCUACGAUCAAUCAUCGUACUUACAUUGUUGAAAUUACUGAGAGACAUAUCCAUUAAUUUACCGGCUACGAUUUUCACUGGAUAAUUAGACAUAAGUAUGACUGGAAUCAAAGAUUUUGUAUCCUUUGUAGGAAGACAAUACCAAUUUAAGGAAGGAACCUAAUAAAUUACCUUCUUGUUCUGAUUUGAUGAUGGAUAACUUCGGCAAUGCGUUUAUUUGGAUUCUUCUCGUCGGUAUAAUUACCAUCGACGAUGUCGUUCAUUUUUCUCAUCAAUAUCCGAAGUUGGCCGCAAACGUGCAUAAUCAAGAAAGCUGCCAAUCCACAAACUCCGCUGCCCACGGUAUAAACGGUAAAGCCACCAAGAAAUUGGCCAAAAAAUACGAGUUCAUAAGCAGGCGUCUUUUGCUCAUCGAAUAUUACAAAAUAACUUGGACAAGCGAGGGGUCUUAUCGUGUGAUUGCCGACGACAACGGAGCCCUUGGAGAGCGGCAGAAAGAUUCUUGUUGAGAUAUACUUACUGUACCAAAACUAUUGAGAGAAAGAUCUAAAAACUUCCCAGCUGUAAUUUUCACCGGUCGAUUCGACAUGGCCAUUACCAAAAUUAAACACCGUGCUGUUCUUCCUGGUAAGCGGAACCAUUCGAGCGUGCAGGACGUGUUUGCGACUUUCGUAGCCUACAUAUGUAUUAUCUAAGUCGCCGCAUGUUGAUCCUUACCUGUUAACCGUUAUAUGAUGUCUCACCAAUGUGGCUAAUUUUUCCUCGAGCGCGACGGUAUUCGCAUUAGGAUCCUCAACGAGCUCCUCCAAUCUUCUUAUAAGGAUUUCGAGUUGUCCGCAAGCAUGAAGAACGUAUAGAGCAGCCAAACUACAUGCACCGCUAGUUAUAGAAAUAAAACAGUACAGCUGACGGUUGAAUGCAAGCAGAAAGAAAAAAGUUACCCCUUACGAUUGAAAUAAUAAAUACUCGUGUAGAAAGGACAUUGAGUUCCAAUCAACUUCUGAAGAAGAAAGUCUCUAUCGUCCCUACGUAUCAUCGAUUCCAACGACGAACGGUGAUCUUCAUUGGACGAUUAGAUAUUGCGAUUACCAAAACGAGACCCGAUAGUUCCUUCGACGGAAGAUUAUACCAAUCGAGAGUGCACGAUGUUCUCGCCACUUUUUCCGCCUGCUUUCAUCAAUGAAU